UACAGAGGGUGCGAGCGUUGUCCGGAAUCACUGGGCGUAAAGGGCGCGUAGGCGGUCCGCUAAGCGUGUGGUGAAAGCUCGGGGCUCAACCCCGAGUCGGCCAUGCGAACUGGUGGACUGGAGCCUGUCAGAGGCAAGCGGAAUUCCGGGUGUAGCGGUGGAAUGCGUAGAGAUCCGGAAGAACACCGGUGGCGAAGGCGGCUUGCUGAGACAGUGCUGACGCUGAGGCGCGACAGCGUGGGGAGCAAACAGG
RNAcentral lists this ribosomal RNA (253 nucleotides) under uncultured bacterium. RNAcentral describes it as "partial 16S ribosomal RNA". It matches the Rfam family "Bacterial small subunit ribosomal RNA", at positions 524 to 776 of the family's 1533-position model. The record is from RNAcentral.